RNAcentral lists this long non-coding RNA (331 nucleotides) under Citrus sinensis (sweet orange). RNAcentral's name for it is "long non-coding RNA (CSIN_LNC004859)". The record is from RNAcentral. Lineage: Eukaryota; Viridiplantae; Streptophyta; Magnoliopsida; Sapindales; Rutaceae.
GAAAACAAAACUUCAGCUAACAAGAAAUCCCGAGAAGUCGAAGCGAGAGGGGCGGUGUGCACUCGAGUAGGGUGAGCAAAAUGUGAAGAUCUAAAGCAGGUCUUGUGAGCUUGUGGCAUAGCGGCAUGGUGGAUGUUUUGCAUAAUGUAGAUCGUUAGGGUUUCGUAUGGCAUGGGUCUUAGAAUUUGAGCAGUGGUGUUAGGAUUUCUUAUGGCAUGGACCCUUGAAUUUUAGGGCUCGAAGUUUUAGAGGUAUGAAGAAGAAGAAGGAUAUCGCCAGAGAGAUGAGGCGGCUGGCCAUGGAUUUAGGAGUUAGGGAAUUUUAUGUUUAU